AAUUCAGAGAUGGAUUUGUGCCUUCGGGAACCGUGAGACAGGUGCUGCAUGGCUGUCGUCAGCUCGUGUUGUGAAAUGUUGGGUUAAGUCCCGCAACGAGCGCAACCCUUAUCCUUUGUUGCCAGCGAUUAGGUCGGGAACUCAAAGGAGACUGCCAGUGAUAAACUGGAGGAAGGUGGGGAUGACGUCAAGUCAUCAUGGCCCUUACGACCAGGGCUACACACGUGCUACAAUGGCGCAUACAAAGAGAAGCGACCUCGCGAGAGCAAGCGGACCUCAUAAAGUGCGUCGUAGUCCGGAUUGGAGUCUGCAACUCGACUCCAUGAAGUCGGAAUCGCUAGUAAUCGUGGAUCAGAAUGCCACGGUGAAUACGUUCCCGGGCCUUGUACACACCGCCCGUCACACCAUGGGAGUGGGUUGCAAAAGAAGUAGGUAGCUUAACCUUCGGGAGGGCGCUUACCACUUUGUGAUUCAUGACUGGGGUGAAGUCGUAACAAGGUAACCGUAGGGGAACCUGCGGUUGGAUCACCUCCUUA
RNAcentral lists this ribosomal RNA (536 nucleotides) under Salmonella enterica subsp. enterica serovar Montevideo. RNAcentral describes it as "bacterial SSU rRNA". It matches the Rfam family "Bacterial small subunit ribosomal RNA", at positions 997 to 1533 of the family's 1533-position model. Lineage: Bacteria; Pseudomonadati; Pseudomonadota; Gammaproteobacteria; Enterobacterales; Enterobacteriaceae. The record is from RNAcentral.